GACGAACGCUGGCGGCGUGCUUAACACAUGCAAGUCGAACGGAAAGGCCCUGCUUUUGUGGGGUGCUCGGGUGGCGAACGGGUGAGUAACACGUGAGUACCCUACCCUUCCCUUUGGGAUAACUUCAGGAAACUGGGGCUAAUACCGGAUAGGAGCUCCUGCUGCAUGGUGGGGGUGGGAUAGUUUCGGCGGUUGGGGAUGGACUCGCGGCUUAUCGGCUUGUUGGUUGGGUAGUGUCUUACCAAGGCUUUGACGGGUAGCCGGCCUGGGAGGGGGACCGGCCACAUUGGGACUGAGAUACGGCCCAGACUCGUACGGGAGGCAGCAGUGGGGAGUAUGACACAAUGGGCGGAAGCAUGAUGCAGCAACGCAGCGUGCGGGAAGACGUCCUGCGGGUUGGAAACCGCUGUCGCCUGUGACGAAGCGUGAGUGACGGUACCGGGUAAAGAAGCACCGGCUAACUACGUG
RNAcentral lists this ribosomal RNA (468 nucleotides) under uncultured bacterium. RNAcentral describes it as "partial 16S ribosomal RNA". It matches the Rfam family "Bacterial small subunit ribosomal RNA", at positions 28 to 507 of the family's 1533-position model. The record is from RNAcentral.